UUGUUUUAGCAGUACAUAUACUAAAAUUGGAACAAUAAAGAGAAUAUUAGCCUGGCCCCUGCACAAGGAUGACACACAAAUUUAUGAAGUGUUUCAUAUAUUU
Octopus sinensis (East Asian common octopus) is the source of this 103-nucleotide small nuclear RNA. NCBI's taxonomy places the organism in Eukaryota, Metazoa, Mollusca, Cephalopoda, Octopoda, Octopodidae. The record is from RefSeq and is a predicted model, not a curated record.